AACACGUGAGUAACCUGCCCUUGACUCUGGGAUAACCUCCGGAAACGGAAGCUAAUACCGGAUAUGACGUACGGAGGCAUCUCCUGUACGUGGAAAGAAUUUCGGUCAAGGAUGGACUCGCGGCCUAUCAGGUAGUUGGUGAGGUAACGGCCCACCAAGCCUACGACGGGUAGCCGGCCUGAGAGGGUGACCGGCCACACUGGGACUGAGACACGGCCCAGACUCCUACGGGAGGCAGCAGUGGGGAAUAUUGCACAAUGGGCGCAAGCCUGAUGCAGCAACGCCGCGUGAGGGACGACGGCCUUCGGGUUGUAAACCUCUUUUAGUAGGGAAGAAGCGAAAGUGACGGUACCUGCAGAAAAAGCACCGGCUAACUACGUGCCAGCAGCCGCGGUAAUACGUAGGGUGCAAGCGUUGUCCGGAAUUAUUGGGCGUAAAGAGCUCGUAGGCGGUUUGUCGCGUCUGCUGUGAAAUCCCGAGGCUCAACCUCGGGCCUGCAGUGGGUACGGGCAGACUAGAGUGCGGUAGGGGAGAUUGGAAUUCCUGGUGUAGCGGUGGAAUGCGCAGAUAUCAGGAGGAACACCGAUGGCGAAGGCAGAUCUCUGGGCCGUAACUGACGCUGAGGAGCGAAAGCGUGGGGAGCGAACAGGAUUAGAUACCCUGGUAGUCCACGCCGUAAACGUUGGGAACUAGAUGUGGG
RNAcentral lists this ribosomal RNA (700 nucleotides) under Leifsonia sp. A6ACH. RNAcentral describes it as "bacterial SSU rRNA". It matches the Rfam family "Bacterial small subunit ribosomal RNA", at positions 112 to 826 of the family's 1533-position model. The record is from RNAcentral. Lineage: Bacteria; Bacillati; Actinomycetota; Actinomycetes; Micrococcales; Microbacteriaceae.